This 375-nucleotide ribosomal RNA is filed under the name uncultured organism. RNAcentral describes it as "partial 16S ribosomal RNA". It matches the Rfam family "Bacterial small subunit ribosomal RNA", at positions 527 to 896 of the family's 1533-position model. The record is from RNAcentral.
GAAGGGCUCGAGCGUUAAUCAGAAUCACUGGGCUUAAAGCGUACGCAGGCGGACGCGCAGGCAUCUUGUGAAAUCCCUCGGCUCAACCGAGGAACUGCGGGGUGAACCGCGUGUCUUGAGGCAAGUAGGGGCUGUCGGAACGCUAGGUGGAGUGGUGAAAUGCGUUGAUAUCUAGCGGAACGCCAAAGGAGAAAUCAGGCAGCUGGGCUUGUUCUGACGCUGAGGUACGAAAGCGUGGGGGGAGCGAACGGGAUUAGAUACCCCGGUAGUCCACGCCGUAAACGAUGUGCACUAGAUCGAGGGGGGUUUCUGACACCAUUCUCGGUCGAAGCGAAAGUGUUAAGUGCACCGCCUGGGAGUACGGUCGCAAGGCUA